This 253-nucleotide ribosomal RNA is filed under the name uncultured bacterium. Its description in RNAcentral is "partial 16S ribosomal RNA". It matches the Rfam family "Bacterial small subunit ribosomal RNA", at positions 524 to 776 of the family's 1533-position model. The record is from RNAcentral.
UACGUAGGUGACCAGCGUUGUCCGGAUUUACUGGGCGUAAAGAGCGCGCAGGCGGUCGUUCAAGUCGAGUGUGAAAGCCCCCGGCUCAACUGGGGAGGGUCAUUCGAUACUGAUCGACUCGAAGGCAGGAGAGGGAAGCGGAAUUCCCGGUGUAGUGGUGAAAUUCGUAGAUAUCGAGAGGAACACCGGUGGCGAAGGCGGCGAUCUGGACGAUGACUGACGCUGAGACGCGAAAGCGUGGGGAGCAAACAGG